GGUGUCCCUAGGUGUCUCCUCAGUGUCCCCUGCUGUCCCCUGACCCCCCCCCACCCGUUGUGCCCCAGACUCUGAUGAUGACGAUGAUGAGGAUGAGGACGAUGAAGGCCGCAGGGGGUCCCCGCACGACCUUGGGGACACUGGGGAGACCCGGGUGACACCCAGGGACAGCAGCGGCGGCGCCAUCCUGGUCACCGUGCCCUGGGGCCGCGUCACCGCCGAGUGUCCCCCCGAGGGGGGUCUCCCCGGCUCGCGGCUGGAGCUGGAGCUGGGGGAGGGGCGGCUCUGUGUCCUCCCCCGCCCGGGGGGGGUGCGGGGCCUGUCCCGGGCCUGCGCCGACGCCCGGAGCCUGCGCCUGCUGCACGGUACCGAAAUACCCCGAAAUCACCCCAAAAUCAGCCCAAAACCACCCCAAAAUCAGCCCAAAAACACCCUAAAACCACCCCAAAAACACCCUAAAAAUAACGCAAAAAUAACCCAAAACCGGGGCGUGCGAGGCCUAUCCCGGGCCUGCGCUGAUGCUUGGAGCCUGCGUUUGCUGCACGGUACCAAAAUACCCCGAAAUUACCCAAACGUCAACCCACAAACACCCCAAAAACGGGGGGCGGGACCCCAAAAUUGGGGAGAGGGUUGGUGGAAAUGGGGGGGGUGGGGGAGAAACAAAACCGGGUUUGGGUGUGUGGGGGCAGAAUGGGGGGGCCCAAACCGUGGGGAGGGGUCCCAAGAUGGCGGGGGGGUGGUGAGGGAGGGGAUGUCAAAAAUGGGGAUUUGGAUCUCUGUUUUUUUGGGGGGGUCGUUCUUUCGGGGGGGGGCUCGUGCCCCAUUUUGGGGGUCCCCAGCCCCUCCCCCACCAUGUCCCCUCCCCCCCAGGCCCGGUGCCCGCGGAGGGGGCGGGGCCGGGGCCGCCCCCCCCCCUGCUGCCCACCCUGGUGCCCUGGGAGGAGCCCGCGCCCCCCCCCGGGACCCCCCCGCAGCCCCCGCGCAUGAUGGCGCUGGCCAUGGGCGGGACAUUGAGCGCCAACGGGGACACCAAGGAGCUGGAGGUGGCGCUGGCCCUGGAGGGGCUGAUGCUGAAACACCGACCCGACCCCCCCGGGACCCCCUGGUACCAACAGGUGAGAGGGGGGGACCCCAAUUUGGGGAGGGGUUUGGGGUUCCUGAGUUUGGGGCUCUGGUUUUUUGGGUUUCUGAUUUUGGGGUUCUUGUUUCUGAGGUCCCCAUUUUUGGGGCUGUUUUGCUCAUUCCCAUUUUUGGAGUUCUUUUGGGUCUCCGGGGGGUUGGGGUUCUCUUGGGGGUUUUUCUGGUUUUGUGGGUGUUUUUGGGGUUUUCUCACUUUUGGGUUGUUUAAUGGGGUUUUCUCAUUUUUGGUGUUCUGGGCUCUCCCUUUUCCUCCUUUCCCAGCUGCUGUCCCUGGAGGACAAGCCGGUUUUGGGGUAUUUUCCUGGGGUUUUCUAAUUUCUGGGGUUUUUUUACAGGAUUUUCUCAGUUUUGGUGUUUUUUUCUGGUUUUUUUCACGGGUUUUUCUCAUUUUUGGGGUUCCCAGCUGCUGUCCCUGCUGGCCCUGGAGGACGAGCCGGUUUUGGGGUAUACGCCCCCCACGCCCCUGACCCAGCUGCACCUGCACCUUCAGCGCUGCGGCCUCGACUACAGGUGGGCACCCCAAAAACGGGGAGGGCACCCCAAAAACGGGGAUCCCAAAAACGGGGGGGUCCCAAAAUGGGGAUCCCAAAAACGGGGAGGGCACCCCAAAAAUGGGGAUCCCAAAAACGGGGGGGUCCCAAAAUGGGGGAGGGGAAAUCCCAAAAUGGGGGGAUAAAUGGGGGUCCUGGGAGGGGGGAGACCCCGAAAUUGGGAUCCCAAAAUGGGGGCUCUGAGAGGGGGUGACCCCAAAAUGGGGAGGGUCCUGCAAGGGGGCAUCACCCCAA
Molecule: long non-coding RNA, 1925 nt
Organism: Junco hyemalis (dark-eyed junco)
Lineage: Eukaryota; Metazoa; Chordata; Aves; Passeriformes; Passerellidae
Source: Ensembl